Molecule: unclassified non-coding RNA, 438 nt
Filed under: fungal sp.
Lineage: Eukaryota; Fungi
Description: partial internal transcribed spacer region
Rfam family: Eukaryotic small subunit ribosomal RNA (bases 1-46)
Source: RNAcentral
AAGUCGUAACAAGGUUUCCGUAGGUGAACCUGCGGAAGGAUCAUUAACACGUAUCCAACGUUAACCCCCCGUGAACCUUCAUUAUGCUGGUUGUGCGCCAUCGUAUCGUAGCAAUCCCUGGUAAAUCAUCGCCGAACAGUUUUGAUUCAGAGACCUCUGGAUAUUCCUAGCGCGGUCGAGUGAGGUAAGGCAAGUGACCUGGUACCCUCAAGACCAGUGUUCAGUGAUCUGUCAGUGUUCAUUGACUGGAAUCAAACGUUCUGUCAGUGUGCGUUUGGUUUGCAAGGGUGGCGCAGUAAACGAUCGCUGGAGGCCGACACGGCCGGCGACCGGGUCAGCGAGCUCUGCUCCCACUGUUACGACAAACCUCUGUUCCCCUCUAGUGAAAGCUAUUGGGUUAUAACUAAACGACUGUUAACAAUGGAUAUCUCGAUUCUC